UCAACACUUUACACUGAAUUCAGCCUCAUCAGAUUCUUCAAGACCAAGAAGAGCAUCUUCACUAGCUGUAUUGUGUCCAGUGUCCACAAGUACAACCAUCAGUUCAGGCGCACCAUCCCCAUCAGGUUAAUCUGCUCCUGAGGAUUCGAGAUCCGAAGAGACAAGCUUUUUAAUGACACAUGAUCAAAGAAUUUUCCAGGGCCAAGUAUGAUUUGAAGCAGUAGUUAGUUGGAUAAGUAAAUAUCUCAGAGCAUGUAAUUUACUUGCGUCCGUGGUAGCACAAUUAAGUUCCUAUAACAACAAAAAUUGUACUCCUAAUAAACAGUUCUCUGAAGAACCUUGAGCAUGAUCUUAGCAAGCAAAGCCAAGAUUAAGUCAUUAAAACUAAUUUUAGUGGAGGUCAAUAAAGCUUCCAAAGUUCAAGUCAUUGGUCGAAAUGAGCAAUUUUGCAAAUAAUUCUACUACAAAUAUAAGAAAUCUGGAGAUAAGAUUGAUCAAAUUAUAACCAUCUUAUAAAAAGCAGAGAAGUUAGUUUCUAAUACUCCAAAAAGUCACUUUCCCAUCUUCACACAUUAUGUAAAUGUAUUUUAUGUACUUGGAAUAUUUAAAUUACAUAAAAGAUUUCACACUAGACCUAUUUACUCAUAGAAAAUAAAAGGAUUGUUAAUUGCAAAGAUUAUUAAAUAGGGGUAGAUUAAAGAGAGAAUAUAUAUUGCACAUUUAAUAAGUAAACUAUGAUUUUGGAACAGUUAAAAGACGAACAAGGGACUACAUGGGAUGUAGGGCGUAACAUAGAUUGAAAGGGAGUACCUCUUUUGAUAGUUGACUUUCCAUGGCCUGCGGUUUCUUGAAUGCUUUCUCAUCAUUGCUAUUCAAAGCCCUUGUGACACAGAUACUGAAAGAAUGUUGUAUAAUAUACCCAAAAACCGCAUAAAGUAGGAUCAAGAUCCUUUGCC
Molecule: long non-coding RNA, 956 nt
Filed under: Salvia miltiorrhiza (redroot sage)
Lineage: Eukaryota; Viridiplantae; Streptophyta; Magnoliopsida; Lamiales; Lamiaceae
Description: long non-coding RNA (SMIL_LNC000654)
Source: RNAcentral